This 77-nucleotide transfer RNA is filed under the name Proteocatella sp. RNAcentral describes it as "tRNA-Arg". It matches the Rfam family "tRNA". From Rfam's summary of the family: Transfer RNA (tRNA) molecules are approximately 80 nucleotides in length. Their secondary structure includes four short double-helical elements and three loops (D, anti-codon, and T loops). The record is from RNAcentral. Lineage: Bacteria; Bacillati; Bacillota; Clostridia; Peptostreptococcales; Filifactoraceae. RNAcentral also lists the same sequence under 1 other name.
GCACCUAUAGCUCAGGCGGAUAGAGCGACAGUUUCCUAAACUGUGCGUCGGAGGUUCAAGUCCUCUUAGGUGCACCA